This 517-nucleotide ribosomal RNA is filed under the name uncultured Staphylococcus sp. RNAcentral's name for it is "bacterial SSU rRNA". It matches the Rfam family "Bacterial small subunit ribosomal RNA", at positions 8 to 507 of the family's 1533-position model. The record is from RNAcentral. Lineage: Bacteria; Bacillati; Bacillota; Bacilli; Caryophanales; Staphylococcaceae.
AGAGUUUGAUCCUGGCUCAGGAUGAACGCUGGCGGCGUGCCUAAUACAUGCAAGUCGAGCGAACAGAUAAGGAGCUUGCUCCUUUGAAGUUAGCGGCGGACGGGUGAGUAACACGUGGGUAACCUACCUAUAAGACUGGGAUAACUUCGGGAAACCGGAGCUAAUACCGGAUAACAUUUAGAACCGCAUGGUUCUAAAGUGAAAGAUGGUUUUGCUAUCACUUAUAGAUGGACCCGCGCCGUAUUAGCUAGUUGGUAAGGUAACGGCUUACCAAGGCGACGAUACGUAGCCGACCUGAGAGGGUGAUCGGCCACACUGGAACUGAGACACGGUCCAGACUCCUACGGGAGGCAGCAGUAGGGAAUCUUCCGCAAUGGGCGAAAGCCUGACGGAGCAACGCCGCGUGAGUGAUGAAGGGUUUCGGCUCGUAAAGCUCUGUUAUUAGGGAAGAACAAAUGUGUAAGUAACUGUGCACAUCUUGACGGUACCUAAUCAGAAAGCCACGGCUAACUACGUG